GCCUGGGUGGCUCAGUCGGUUAAGCAUCUGACUUCAGCUCAGGUCAUGAUUUUGUGGUUCAUCAGUUUGAGCCUGAUGUCGGGCU
This 85-nucleotide transfer RNA is filed under the name Felis catus (domestic cat). It matches the Rfam family "tRNA". From Rfam's summary of the family: Transfer RNA (tRNA) molecules are approximately 80 nucleotides in length. Their secondary structure includes four short double-helical elements and three loops (D, anti-codon, and T loops). The record is from Rfam by way of RNAcentral. Lineage: Eukaryota; Metazoa; Chordata; Mammalia; Carnivora; Felidae. RNAcentral also lists the same sequence under 3 other names.